Long non-coding RNA from Myxocyprinus asiaticus (Chinese sucker), 2486 nucleotides. RefSeq lists it as uncharacterized. Lineage: Eukaryota; Metazoa; Chordata; Actinopteri; Cypriniformes; Catostomidae. The transcript has 3 exons. The record is from RefSeq and is a predicted model, not a curated record.
GGAGGGAGGUAGACAGCCCAGUGGAGUGCAUCGUCACGCUAGGUGCAGAACUGGAGGUUUUCUGGUCUGUAGUGACUCUUGCGACAACCACUCGGCUUUUUACAGUCAGGGAUGGGUGACUUUAUCCUGUCCUGUUUUGGCUUUUGAGUUAGAGUGCAAACUCCAGAUGCUGCUCUCUACAUGUUUUUUGUGGCCAGCCAGCUUUGGGAUGAAGUGAGAGAUGAACGUGGUACCUUCAGGUGUUUGGAAAUUGCUCCCAAGGAUGAACUACACUUGUGGAGGUCCACAAUUUUUUUCUGAGGUCUGUCAAGCAAAGAGGCACUGAGUUUGAAGCCUGAUGAUCUGACGGUAAUGGCCUGGAUCUCAGCUUGCCUAGCAGACAUUUCAUGUUGGAUGAAAGAUCACCACCUCCAGCUCAGCCUUGCUAAGACAGAGCUGCUCAUGCUCCCAGCGAGCCCAGCAAUUCAUCACAACUUCACCAUUCAGCUAGACUCGUAAACGAUUACGCCAUCCAGGACAGCCAGAAAUCUUGGAGUUGUGUUUGACGAUCAGUUGAACUUCGCAGACCACAUCGCAAGGACUGCCCAAUCGUUCUGAUUUGCCUUGUACAACAUUAGGAAUAUCAAGCCCUUCCUAUCGGAGCAUGUUACACAACUCCUCAUCCAAGCUCUUGUUCUAUCCAGGCUGAACUAUUGCAAUGUUCUUCUGGCAGGCCUUCUAACAUGUACUAUCAAACCUCUGCAAUUGAUCCAGAAUGCGGCAGCAAGAGUGGUCUUCAAUGAGCCCAAGAGAGUGCAUGUCACACCUCUCUUCAUCAAAUUGCACUGGCUGCCAAUGGUUGCUCAAGUUAAUUUCAAGGUAUUGAUGCUUGCUUAAAUAACAACCACUAGCUCCGCACCCCACUAUCUAAACUCAUUACUUCAGACUUAUGUGCCCUCCAGAAGCCUGUGUUCUGCGGGUGAAUGGCGCCUCGUGGUGCCAUAUCAUAGAGGCACAAAAUCACUGUCCCGGACCUUUACCUUGACUGUUCCCUGCUGGUGGAAUGACCUGCCUAAUUCCACUCAAGUGGCUGUGUUUUUAGCCUCUUUCAAAAAACAGAUAAAGACACAUACCCAUUCAUACUAACAAACUACCUUCAUGUUUAAAAAAACAAAACAAAAUUUCCUUGCUAUGUGUACUGCUCUAAGCUAUGUGAGACUUGUAUUACAGCUCUUAUUAUAUUGUUGCCCCUUUUGUUGGAUGAAUCGCUUCUAUCGCUCUCCUCAUUUAUAAGUCGCUUUGGAUAAAAGUGUCUGCUAAAUGAAUACAUGUAAAUGUAAAUUAGCCUUUGGACUGUGCUGAAGAUCUGAUAGUGUAGGCCUAUAUCGUACAAUUUGACAUUAAAGUCUGCCUCGGUUUUGACCCAGGAUCUCACCAGGGCCAAAUCGUACAAUCUGACAAGCAACAAUAAUAAAGGACAGAAAAAAUAAUCAGCCAGUGUACAUGCGACUUUACUCAUUCCAAAAGUAUGUGAUGUGUUUCUGCUGUUGGAGACUCAGUGGAAAAGUUCUGUUCUUGUCUUAGUAAGUAUUAAACCCACCUGUCUGGUCUGGACUGGUCAAGAAACUUCUUUCUUUCAGUGGUGAUUCACUUUCCAUUUUUUGCUAAACAUUCCAUGAUAAUCACAAGGUCUAGAUGAUUCCUGCUGGAAAAGAAUUUUUGUUUGUAUAACAAUUUCAGCAGCACUGUUUCACAUGUGCCUUCUAUUUUAGUACAUAAUUGCAAUGCAAGUUAGUCAUUUUCAUAAUCUGAACAAUGACACGCUGUUUGGAUGUUACAACAUAUUCACUGUUCCAACGAAUCCCUCAAGCAAAGAACGUUCUUUUUUCUAUAUAGUAAAAUCUUGUGUUUAGAGAUGAUGUCAAGUUCAUUGUAAAUUGUGGCUGUGUGUUCAGUCAGUUUGCAGUAUGAUCUGUGGAUAUUGUCACUUGGCUGAUGAUAAAACAUUUUAAAAAAUCAGCUGAAGUUCCCAGGAAUCCGAAGGAGAGGAAUGUAGUCCCAAUGUUUGCCAUAAAAACAAGGUUUAGGAUGAUUAAGUAUGUUUAGGUUUGUAGGAUUUGCUUAUUACCACCUGGCCAUCUUUCAACAGGAGCCAAAGUAUGUGACAGUAGUGUGCACAUAUCCUAAUUUUUUACAAGAGAGCAACAAUUCACAGGAACUUUAUCGAUGUCCGCCUCUUUGAAAACAGGAGGAUGGAAUGAAGUGGGCUAAAGUGACCCAUGCUUAAAAGCUUACGUUUUUGUCUGGUACUGGUCUUGCUGGUGGACCAAGUUAAUUUCAGGUAUCUGUAAUGUGAUUGUAAUUAGUAAGAAAGCCUUUUAAGAUAUCUUUAAUUACUCUCCAACGUAUUGAUAUCUGAAAUCCAUUUCCAGAUAUUUGAAAUGGCAAAUCGAACAUAAAAAAAUUAUCAUUUUCACUAGUUGUAAUUCAGUUGUUGAUAUAAGGAA